UGCCAGCAGCCGCGGUAAUACGAAGGGGGCUAGCGUUGCUCGGAAUUACUGGGCGUAAAGCGCGCGCAGGUGGCCUGUUAAGUUGGGGGUGAAAGCCCGGAGCUCGACUCCGGAACGGCCUUCAAAACUGGCAAGCUAGAGUCCGGAAGAGGAGAGUGGAAUUCCCAGUGUAGAGGUGAAAUUCGUAGAUAUUGGGAAGAACACCAGUGGCGAAGGCGGCUUUCUGGACCGAUACUGACGCUGAGACGCGAAAGCGUGGGGAGCAAACAGGAUUAGAUA
This 279-nucleotide ribosomal RNA is filed under the name uncultured bacterium. RNAcentral's name for it is "partial 16S ribosomal RNA". It matches the Rfam family "Bacterial small subunit ribosomal RNA", at positions 506 to 784 of the family's 1533-position model. The record is from RNAcentral.